CACUCCUACGGGAGGCAGCAGUGGGGAAUAUUGCACAAUGGGCGCAAGCCUGAUGCAGCCAUGCCGCGUGUAUGAAGAAGGCCUUCGGGUUGUAAAGUACUUUCAGCGGGGAGGAAGGCGAUAAGGUUAAUAACCUUGUUGAUUGACGUUACCCGCAGAAGAAGCACCGGCUAACUCCGUGCCAGCAGCCGCGGUAAUACGGAGGGUGCAAGCGUUAAUCGGAAUUACUGGGCGUAAAGCGCACGCAGGCGGUCUGUCAAGUCGGAUGUGAAAUCCCCGGGCUCAACCUGGGAACUGCAUUCGAAACUGGCAGGCUAGAGUCUUGUAGAGGGGGGUAGAAUUCCAGGUGUAGCGGUGAAAUGCGUAGAGAUCUGGAGGAAUACCGGUGGCGAAGGCGGCCCCCUGGACAAAGACUGACGCUCAGGUGCGAAAGCGUGGGGAGCAAACAGGAUUAGAAACCCCUGUAGUCCC
This 471-nucleotide ribosomal RNA is filed under the name uncultured organism. RNAcentral's name for it is "partial 16S ribosomal RNA". It matches the Rfam family "Bacterial small subunit ribosomal RNA", at positions 334 to 797 of the family's 1533-position model. The record is from RNAcentral.